AUGGCUGUUAAGUCACCCAGUCUAUGGAAUUUUCUUAUAGCAUCCCAAGAAGACUUAUAUGAAUACCACAGUAACACAGAUGAGCUCCAGGGGCCAGAAGAGGGGUUGCUAGCUGGAAAGACAGCCCUACAGGAAAACAAAACUGCCUCAAGUUAUGCCAUGAAAGGGCCUUGUUUUUAUUUAACAUGUUUAAAUUAGUAUUAUUUAUUUUUGUUGCCUUCUAUUUCAUCAAUUAUUUUGUCAUUUCUCUAUUCAUCAUCGUUCUGUUGUUAAUGAAUUCAUUAAAUAAUUAAAGUACUCAAAAAAAAAAAGAAAGAAAGAAGGAAAGGGUCUUCUCACUGUGUAAUUUGACAAAUGGGGCCACGCUUGACUCAAGUAGUAUUUCUUAACCAAAAACAAGAAGCAAAAGAAACAGAAAACGGUAGAGGUAGAGGAGAAGAAGAUGAGAAGGAAAAAUAGAAUUUGCAUAUACAGUCAUCCCACACAUAACAAUGUUUUGGUCAACUUCCAACUGCAUACAGGAGAGUGAUCACAUAAGGUUAUAAUACCAUACUAUUAAUGUAACUUUUUUUAUGUUUACACAUGUUUAGAUGUGUAACUGCUUACCAUUGUGUUGCAAUUGCCUAUGAUACUCAGUACAGUAACAUGUUAUACAGGUUGGUAGCCCAAGAGCAAUAGGCAAUACCAUACAGCCUAGGUAAUGCAGUAGGCUAUAUCAUCUAGGUUUGUGUAAGUAUGAUGUUUCCACAACAAUAAAAUUGCCCAAUGAUGCAUGUCUCAGAAUAUGUUCCUGUCAUUAAGUGAUGCAUGACUGUAUAUAAGUAUGUGAACAAGAGUAUAGUUAAUAAAAAAUAAAAAGUUUGUAAAUACAUGCAAAUUUGCGUGUCUAAAAUUUAGAGAUGCAUAGUCAUUUAUCAAAUCAAAUGAAUAUGGCACAAAAACUAGUGUCUGCACGACCUACAGACAAAACUCAAAUGUACAUAAAUUGAGACAUUUUAGUCACAGUCACUCUAAACCCUUCCAAGUCAUCCUUUUGUUUGUGAUUACAAUUAUGAUUAUGUCUUGAUAGUAAAUGUUUG
This 1079-nucleotide long non-coding RNA is filed under the name Callithrix jacchus (white-tufted-ear marmoset). RNAcentral's name for it is "lncRNA (ENSCJAG00000087252.1)". Lineage: Eukaryota; Metazoa; Chordata; Mammalia; Primates; Cebidae. The record is from RNAcentral.